This 253-nucleotide ribosomal RNA is filed under the name uncultured bacterium. Its description in RNAcentral is "partial 16S ribosomal RNA". It matches the Rfam family "Bacterial small subunit ribosomal RNA", at positions 524 to 776 of the family's 1533-position model. The record is from RNAcentral.
GACAGAGGGGGCAAGCGUUGCUCGGAAUUACUGGGCGUAAAGGGCGCGUAGGCGGAAUGGCAAGUCGGUCGUGAUAUCCUUCGGCUCAACCGAAGAACGUCGAUCGAAACUGCCGUUCUUGAGGAUUGCAGAGGAGACUGGAAUUCCCGGUGUAGCGGUGAAAUGUGUAGAGAUCGGGAGGAACACCGGUGGCGAAGGCGGGUCUCUGGGCAAUUCCUGACGCUGAGGCGCGAAAGCGUGGGGAGCAAACGGG